GAGCAGUGUAACUGCUAAGAGCACAGGUUCUGGAGCCAGCCUGCUCAGACAUGAAUCUCAGCUCAUGCGUUUCCUGUGUAUGACCUGGUCAACUUUCUUAACCUCUCCGUGCCUCCAUUUCCUUAUUUUCAAAUGGGGUCCAUCUCAUUUGGAUGAUAUGAGAAUUAAAUGCGUUGAUAAACAACUAUAGAUCAUUGAAACGUUUUCUGGAUGGUAUUAGACAAGUGAGUUUUUAAAGAGUGAUAUUUUGGGAGAGUCUCAUCUCUCAGUCAAACCAGGGCAACUAUCUUCAAAGGUUUUAUAAAUUAGGCAUCUGUGUAACAUUUCAUUUGAAGAAAAGUUUCUACUGCAUAUGCAAACAAACACAAGAAGUUUAAAUAUCAAGGCUUCUGGCUUCGUAUAAGAGAAUAGUUUCUUGAUUAAAAUUAUGUCUAAACUCAGGCAGAUUGGAUCAUACCUGGCUACGAUCUAUACUCUUACAGAAUCAUCAUGGAUGAUGGAACUGUCCACAAGACUGAGAAAAUCCCCAGGCUCCAAUGGCAGAGGUGCACCAGAGUGGCUGAGAGGCAGAGUGGAGCAGCAGAAAAGGAGAGAAGAGAAGAAGCAGCCAGACAUCAGAGAGAAGCAGCUUGACUUCAGAGGGAAGUUUGACAGUGGGACUUUGGAGAAGAGUUCAGCUGAGGAUGGCCAACUCUGCGCCUGAUUCUUCCUGAACACCAGACAAGAACUCGAGUACCAAGAGGGUGGGUGCAAAAGACUGUCACCCUGAUGCUCCACUAAGCUGUUAAACACUUAAACCAUCCAUGGGUGACAAAGCUAAAAGAAAACACUGUAACACACAGCCUCUGGGGCUUCAGGGGUCACAGGUAGCCUACUAGAUGCUGCUGUGGGGCCUCAUGGAGUUCUACUGCUGCCAAUGCCCAGAAGCACUCCUCCCGGUCCCUGCCCCUGCUCACCUGCAUGCUCUCCCUCGCCUGCCCCCCACCCCCCAUGAGGGGUUGAGAGCUGCAGGCUGAGUAAAGGAGCCAACCCCUUUGUGAUCCCCGCAAAGGGGUCAAGGGAACUAUCCCGUGUUUCCCUGGCAGUAAUGGGUAUUAAUAAAUUAAAAUAAGUACUUGCUAAAGAUGAAAUAUAUUUG
Molecule: long non-coding RNA, 1138 nt
Filed under: Callithrix jacchus (white-tufted-ear marmoset)
Lineage: Eukaryota; Metazoa; Chordata; Mammalia; Primates; Cebidae
Description: lncRNA (ENSCJAG00000053345.2)
Source: RNAcentral